Molecule: ribosomal RNA, 788 nt
Filed under: Anaeromyces sp. SSD4
Lineage: Eukaryota; Fungi; Neocallimastigomycota; Neocallimastigomycetes; Neocallimastigales; Neocallimastigaceae
Description: LSU rRNA
Rfam family: Eukaryotic large subunit ribosomal RNA
Source: RNAcentral
GAAUCAUACCAAUAAGCGGAGGAAAAGAAACUAACAAGGAUUCCCCUAGUGACGGCGAGUGAAGCGGGAAGAGCUCAAAUUUGAAAUCUUAAAGGGUUUCCCUUUACGAAUUGUAGUUUAAAGAAGUGUUUUCUGUUGGAGUUUCGGUAAAAGUUCUUUGGAAUAGGACAUCAUAGAGGGUGAGAAUCCCGUAUUUGACCGUUACUUUCCAGCUGUGUGAUACACUUUCAAAGAGUCGGAUUGUUUGGGAAUGCAGUCCAAAAUGGGUGGUAAAUUUCAUCUAAAGCUAAAUAUUGGCGAGAGACCGAUAGCGAACAAGUACCGUGAGGGAAAGAUGAAAAGAACUUUGAAAAGAGAGUUAAACAGUACGUGAAAUUGUCAAAAGGGAAGCGUUUGACACCAGUGUUGUUUAGUUGAAAAUCAAUUAAAUAAUUUUUGAUUUUGAGUAGUAUUGACUUCAUCAGCUUGCUGCUUUCUUUUCGGAAAUUAUUUAAUGCACUUUUCAGUUAACAAGUCAACAUCAAUUUCUUUUGUUGUAAAAGGGUAAGAGGAAGGUGGCUUACAUUUCGGUGUAAGUGUUUAUAGCCUUUUACCUCUGCAAUCGGAGAGAUUGAGGCCAGCAGCGUAGACUCUUCGGGGUUAGAUACACUUGUGCUAAGUUAUAGCCUUGUAUAGACAAUUUGUUGACUAUACUCAGUCAUGUAGCUUACUCGCUUGUAGUAUUUCACCUACGCUUAGGAUGUUGACAAAAUGGUUUUAAACGACCCGUCUUGAAACACGGACCAUCU